AACGCGAAGAACCUUACCUGGGCUUGAACCGCUACUGACCAACGGUAGAAAUAUCGUCUUCCCGCAAGGGACAGUAGUAGAGGUGCUGCAUGGCUGUCGUCAGCUCGUGCCGUGAGGUGUUGGGUUAAGUCCCGCAACGAGCGCAACCCUUAUUCGUAGUUGCCACCCGCAAGGGGGAACUCUACGAGGACUGCUCCGGAUAACGGAGAGGAAGGUGGGGAUGACGUCAAGUCAGCACGGCCUUUAUGUCCAGGGCUACACACGUGUUACAAUGCACGGUACAGACUGUUGCGAACCCGCGAGGGGGAGCUAAUCGGAUAAAACCGUGCUCAGUUCGGAUUGCAGUCUGCAACUCGACUGCAUGAAGCUGGAAUCGCUAGUAAUGGCGUAUCAGAUCGACGCCGUGAAUACGUUCCCGGGCCUUGUA
This 427-nucleotide ribosomal RNA is filed under the name uncultured Acidobacteriota bacterium. RNAcentral describes it as "bacterial SSU rRNA". It matches the Rfam family "Bacterial small subunit ribosomal RNA", at positions 958 to 1385 of the family's 1533-position model. The record is from RNAcentral. Lineage: Bacteria; Pseudomonadati; Acidobacteriota.